UAUCUCUGUAGAGUCUGCAUAUCAAUAAGCGGAGGAAAAGAAACUAACUAGGAUUCCCUCAGUAACGGCGAGUGAAGCGGGAAGAGCUCAAAUUUGAAAUCUUCAAGGUUCUACCUUGACGAAUUGUAGUUUAAAGAAGUGUUUUCUGUUAGAUGAGUAGCAAAAGUUCCUUGGAAUGGGACAUCAUAGAGGGUGAGAAUCCCGUAUUUGGUUAUUCAUUCUAGCUUUGUGAUACACUUUCAAAGAGUCGGAUUGUUUGGGAAUGCAGUCCAAAAUGGGUGGUAAAUUUCAUCUAAAGCUAAAUAUUGGCGAGAGACCGAUAGCGAACAAGUACCGUGAGGGAAAGAUGAAAAGAACUUUGAAAAGAGAGUUAAACAGUACGUGAAAUUGUCAAAAGGGAAGCGUUUGACACCAGUGUUGUUUUUCCGAAAAUCAAUUACGAAUGGCUUGAUUCUGUGUUGUAUUGACCUUAUCAGCUUUCUUCACUUUUUUCGAGUCUUUCUUAAUGCACUUUUCGGUUAACAAGUCAACAUCAAUUUCUUUUGUUGUAAAAGAGUAUUCGGAAGGUGGCUUUCUUUUCGGAGAAAGUGUUUAUAGCCCUAUACUUCUACAAUCGGAGAGAUUGAGGUCUGCAGCGUAGAUCCUUCGGGGUUAGAUACACUUGUGCUAAGUUGUAGCUUUUCAUAGACAACUUGUUGACUAUGUUUAGUCAUGCGGCUUACUCGCUUGUGCUAUUUUACCUACGCUUAGGAUGUUGAAGAUGUAGCACAUCAU
This 774-nucleotide ribosomal RNA is filed under the name uncultured Neocallimastigales. RNAcentral describes it as "partial large subunit ribosomal RNA". It matches the Rfam family "Eukaryotic large subunit ribosomal RNA", at positions 24 to 643 of the family's 3401-position model. The record is from RNAcentral. Lineage: Eukaryota; Fungi; Neocallimastigomycota; Neocallimastigomycetes; Neocallimastigales.